Long non-coding RNA from Psammomys obesus (fat sand rat), 1849 nucleotides. RefSeq lists it as uncharacterized. The record is from RefSeq and is a predicted model, not a curated record. Lineage: Eukaryota; Metazoa; Chordata; Mammalia; Rodentia; Muridae. The transcript is spliced from 3 exons.
CGCCGGGCUUGAACGUGGUCCCGCCCGGCGCUCGCUCUUCCUUUUCCGCCGGGGCGCGCUACGGAUGGUCCUAUGCCCGGGGUGCUAAUGAAAUCAAGGUGUGGUGCUGGAAAUGAACUGGUACAACUUCUAGAAGAGAAGGUAAGCAGCUGUAUGAAAGACCCCCCGCCUCACCCUAAGUUGAACAUAGCUAACGCCAUUUUGUGGUACACCACUGUUUUGAGAAACUCUGUAGGCUAGGUGGGAAACUGGAAAAUUACUAAAAAACCCAGCUGUGUCGCCCACUUGGGAUAUCUGCGGUCAGGCUGCCCCAGUUGAGCUAAAAACAACUUGUGUUGAUCACCUUCAUGGGAUAUCUGUGGGACUGUUCCAGCUGAGAUAGGAGUCCUAAGGAAAACAACAUAUGGCGGCCCAAGUUAUGGGGUCAUCAUGACCAUUUCGACCACCCAGUUUUUGGUAUCCUGGUGUCUCUGCCAAACUCUGACUCAAAUUGUGGUCUCAUUUAAAUGUACCAAUCAAUUCCUGUAACCAUGCUUCUCGCUUCUGUACCCGCGCUUCUGCUCUAAAACCCUAUAAAAACCCAGCUUUCCACCCAGAGGGCGCGCAAGUCCUCCGAGAGACUUUGUCGCCCCGGGUACCCGUGUACUGAAUAAAGCCUCUUGCUGUUUGCAGCCGAAUAACUGGUCUCGCUGAUCCUUGGGAGGGGGGUCUCCCUGACGGAAGAUACCCCUCCGGGGUCUUUCACUGUACAGAACCAAGGUGUCAGGUUUCUUUGCCCCCUUUAUAGUGGGAAUAGAUGAAUUGUGAGGCAGUCCCAAUUGCAGAUAGAGAAAUAUGAGAAUUUUGUGCCUGUAGAAUUCUGUUCCAUUAGUCGGGCAGUGGUGGUGUCCACCUUUAAUCUUAGCGUUUAGGGGCAGGUAGAUCUGUGAGUUCAAGGCCAGCCAAGGCUACAGAGAAACUCUGUUUCAAAAAAUGGAAGAAAAAAAAUCAGUUCCAUUUAGUUUUCUGAGUCAGCCCUAGCCAGAGACUUGCCACAAUAUUUAUACAAAAGAUCUUAUUGGAAAGGUUGGUUUUAUAUUUUUGCCUGCAUGUCUGAACCAUGUGUGCAGUGCCCGCGGAGGCCAGAAGAGGGCAUCGAAUCCCUCUGGAAUUGAAGUUAGUUUGUGAGCGGCCAUGUGGGUAUUGGGAAUUGAACCUAACUCCUAGAAGAGCAGCCAGCCUGGGCCCUUCACUGCUGGGCAUCUCUGUAGCCCUAAACUUUGCCAGCUCAGAAUUGUCUAACACAUGGUUGGCAUCUUGUGUGCCCAGGAGGGUGAGGUGUGUGGUGGCAUCCACGUGGUGUCCUGGCCAGGUGUGCUCGUUAGCUGUAGCUGGAAUGAGCAGACAACCUGUGUGAUUUAAGCUACCAGGCAGAUGCCUCCUUAUGCUCAGAUACCUUGCAGAGAAAUGAAGCGAAUUUUAAGUUAAAUUGUGAGGUUAACUUGGCCCUGACCAUGGGUACUUGAAGUCGUGAGCUUUAAUCAUUACCAAACCAGGAUCUGAUACAAAACGUUACUGAGAAAUGCAGGAUUUGAAACAAAAUGUUUCUGAGAAAUGCCCUUCUGUAGUCAUGGACUGAAGAGUGCAAACAAUCCCUGGACCCCCUCCUGUUUGCUUUGCACUCACUGCACCUGGAUACAACCAGUCACCGAUUGCCCCCUUAGGGAAGUCCCUCACCCCUAGACCCCCUCCUGCUUUGUGGUUUUGCCUUUAUAAACUCCGUGAUUCUGUUGCUCCGGACUCUCCACUGCCCCUUGCACGGGAGCUGUGUGCUGAGCCCCCUGCGAAUAAAAGCCUCUUGCUGUUUUUC